Long non-coding RNA from Mesocricetus auratus (golden hamster), 772 nucleotides. RefSeq lists it as uncharacterized. Lineage: Eukaryota; Metazoa; Chordata; Mammalia; Rodentia; Cricetidae. The record is from RefSeq and is a predicted model, not a curated record. The transcript has 2 exons.
UCUCUCUCUCUCAGCUCUACACUAGUUGGUUACCUCUCACCCUUUCCCUCCCUGUCUACCAAUAAAACUCCACAUGGGAUCGUUAAAAAAACAAAAAGAAUUAAAUUGAAAGUGAACUUGGCCUUUACUUGACAGGCUGCCUUUUAAGCAGAGAUGUUCACAGGUGUGCCUCUAGGACGAGUCACGGAGAUUGACAUAGUGUAGAGCAUGGCUUGCUGGAAGCUGAAAGGCAGAGCAUGCUGGCAGGAGAGAUUUGAGAGGGCCACAAUCAAAAUGGAAGAGGAAAGCAGAGACAUUAAGGAGAUGAAGAUUCAUUGCACAAUCUUACUUCUUAACCUAUCAACUACAGUCUACAUGGACUCUGAGCGUGGGACAGUAUCCUGUGAUGGCUCCCAAGCAGAGCAAAGCUUUACUCACUGGCCUGUGACAAAAUGUCACAAGAAGCAACCAAUCUAUAUACUGGGUGAUGUCCUCAUCAAUAGUAGGAGUAAGGCUGCUACACUGAGUGAUUUAAUGUCAGAAAGGACUCUACACAUAGUCAAGCCAUUGUCCAGAUGGCACCACCACUGCCUGAAUGACCCUGAAGAUGUCAUGAUACUAGAGACUCAUCAGAAAGAUACAGGUGACUCGUUAAGCUCUGCUCAAUAUCUUGUCUGUAGUUUAAAAUCAGCUGUCAGUAUUCAACUAUAUGUUGGUGGCCAGAACUUCUCAUGUGAAUGGAGGCUUUCAAACUCACCAAUAAACACACACAAAAAAAAAACACACAAACUCA